RNAcentral lists this ribosomal RNA (742 nucleotides) under uncultured bacterium. RNAcentral describes it as "bacterial SSU rRNA". It matches the Rfam family "Bacterial small subunit ribosomal RNA", at positions 8 to 796 of the family's 1533-position model. The record is from RNAcentral.
AGAGUUUGAUCAUGGCUCAGAACGAACGCUGGCGGCAUGCCUAACACAUGCAAGUCGAACGAUGCUUUCGGGCAUAGUGGCGCACGGGUGCGUAACGCGUGGGAACGUGCCUUCCGGUUCGGAAUAACCCUGGGAAACUAGGGCUAAUACCGGAUACGCCCUUAUGGGGAAAGGUUUACUGCCGGAAGAUCGGCCCGCGUCUGAUUAGCUAGUUGGUGGGGUAACGGCCUACCAAGGCGACGAUCAGUAGCUGGUCUGAGAGGAUGAUCAGCCACACUGGGACUGAGACACGGCCCAGACUCCUACGGGAGGCAGCAGUGGGGAAUAUUGGACAAUGGGCGCAAGCCUGAUCCAGCCAUGCCGCGUGAGUGAUGAAGGCCUUAGGGUUGUAAAGCUCUUUUAUCCGGGACGAUAAUGACGGUACCGGAGGAAUAAGCCCCGGCUAACUUCGUGCCAGCAGCCGCGGUAAUACGAAGGGGGCUAGCGUUGCUCGGAAUCACUGGGCGUAAAGGGCGCGUAGGCGGCGUUUUAAGUCGGGGGUGAAAGCCUGUGGCUCAACCACAGAAUGGCCUUCGAUACUGGGACGCUUGAGUAUGGUAGAGGUUGGUGGAACUGCGAGUGUAGAGGUGAAAUUCGUAGAUAUUCGCAAGAACACCGGUGGCGAAGGCGGCCAACUGGACCAUUACUGACGCUGAGGCGCGAAAGCGUGGGGAGCAAACAGGAUUAGAUACCCCGGUAGUCC